Molecule: long non-coding RNA, 1497 nt
Filed under: Pan paniscus (pygmy chimpanzee)
Lineage: Eukaryota; Metazoa; Chordata; Mammalia; Primates; Hominidae
Description: lncRNA (ENSPPAG00000044463.1)
Source: RNAcentral
GCUGUCAACUUUGCUUCUGUUGAUUUUCUCCUUUAUUGGAAGAGAAUCAAGUGCAGGGAGGUGCUUUAGAGGAUGGUGCAGUCAUUGAAUGUACCUAAAAUACCCUUGAGAAAUCCAUAGAUACAUUAUCUCUUUUUCUCUCAAGAAAAGUCUUUGUCAAACGGAGAAUUUUCUGAGUAAGGAUAAACUACUUUUAGCAUUACUUUUUAACACUAGUUUUUAGUAGUGUAAGAGACCAUGGCACUGCCCACUUCUUCUGCCAUUAAACAGAUUAGGAAAAAUAAAAACUGAACACACAGAUCUCAUGAGGCGAUUGAGUCAUUUCUCUACACCUCUGAUGACAAAUCUUCAGUGUAACUUCAUACUUUUCUAGAACUUUGUGGAUUCCAUGAAUACAAACUGUCUUACAAGUUAAAUAUAAUGUACUUUCCUUCCCAAAAGUUCUCAGAACUACAGGAUGUCAAGUAGAAGGGAUUUUUAAUUCAUCUAGUCUCCUCUAGCCAGCAUAAGUCUUCCUACAAUAAUGUGGAUAAGUCAAGCCAAAGAAUUAUUAGCCCAAAUCACUUUAUGUAUAUUUCCUAUAUCAUCUACUUUGUCACACUCAAUAAAAACUGAAGAUCACACUAGAGCAGAAACAAAGAUUUAAAGAUAAUUCUAACCUUGUCUGGACACAGUUCAGGGCAGAAAACUAUGAUUGAAAGAGAGGAAUAAGAGAAAGCAGAGGAGUAGCUGUCCCAGAGAGGAAGUUAUGGAAAGAAGGGAGACUCAGCAGAAGAAAGGGAUGUUUGGCCACAACAACCAAAGGUGGAGCAUGAGGAUAGGUUUACCAACCCAGUGUGACUCUGAGAUACUGAAUGAGCAUGAGAAAGUGACACUUCAUGACUGAAAUUUGGAAGCCUCUCGUGUGGAGCUAAAAACCCAAGCCACCUUUUACAGUGUUGCAACCUCAGUCCCAAGCAGCCUAAACUAAGAAGAGCAAGCCAAAAUGAGAAGCCAAGAAAAGGAUAGAAAAACAGGAUGCUGAUGGGUCUGCACUUUAGAGAGAACGGUGUGUGCUAAGCCCAGGAGGAAAUAGAUGAUCUUCUGAUGUAAUUCCUGCUCAGAAGUGAACAUUUGCUCCAUGCCAUUUCUGCCACCAACACUGAAAAAUUAGAAAAAUACCUUGGAUCUCUUCAUUAUACAGAAACAAUAGUGCAAAUUUGUGUGACCUAGACUGGAAUAGACCAAGGUUACAUUCUGAGCUAAGCCCAAUUCUUAGAAAUAUAAUUCUUUCAUCUUUAAUUUUCUAUUUCAUUUGAGCAAAACGGUUGGAGAUUUCAGAAGCACUCAGCAGGACUGAGGAUUGUUGAUGAAUUUCAAGGUUUUGUUGAAUACUUUAAAUUGCAACUAAUUAUAAGUCGUUCUUUAGAAAUUGUUAUACAACACCAUUUUUGUAAUUGAUUUGUAUAAACAGAUAUCGCAUUGCAUUAUGUUUGGUUUUUGUGGUCUGUAAAUUCU